RNAcentral lists this long non-coding RNA (1842 nucleotides) under Sus scrofa (pig). RNAcentral's name for it is "lncRNA (ENSSSCG00030060940.1)". Lineage: Eukaryota; Metazoa; Chordata; Mammalia; Artiodactyla; Suidae. The record is from RNAcentral.
AAAUGUAGGAGCUCUGGCGGCUGCCCCGCUAGUCAUGGCUGUGGAAAAGGGCGGGUCACGUGGCCCGGCUUCCGGCAGAAGUUUUAAGUGCGGAGUCAUCUCCGAGCGUGAGCUAAGGUCAGACUCCUAGUUCCUGAAGCGUUAGCACGCCUUGCUGAGGGUGGGCCUUUCGCUUGCAAAAUUGUGUAUGAGUUCCUGAAAGGGAACUGAUUUGGUUCCCCUCUUACUACAUUCAACAAUUAUUACAUAUUAUUACAUUCCACAAUUAAUAAUCCCUGAAGCCAGCAGAGUUGUCUGUCUCCAUCAGUACAACUACAAAGUCUCUUUAAAUUUCCGUUCCCCAGAGUCCCGGCCUCUCCAAGCCCACUUACUUCAAAUAACUUCUCAAGGUGGUAGAAAUGUUAAAACUAACCCCCCAAAAAAGGUCACCACCUGGAUUAUGACCGCACAACUUUUCCUGGUUUUUUUUUUUUUUUAAAUGUUGCGAAAAUUCAGUGAUUCCAUAUGUUCAGCACGUGCUAACAUCUUGAAUACUUGCCCUUGACCCAUCAACUCUCAUGGCUGCAAGAGAGCAGGUAGAAAAUGGCCAUGUAUUCAAGGGCAACUCAGUAGGCGUUUGACCUGAAUUGCGAGUGACAUGGAAUGCAGUCUGGACAAGUGAGGGAGUUGAUCCUCAAAAAGCAAAGCAAAACAAAAUGUCAAACUUAUGCUCCUGAAAGAAGAUUUGAGAAAGAUCAGUUGCUUUUCAGUUCCCUGCACAGUGGCCUCUUUGGGAACACUGAAAGAGAUAAGACCACAGGAAAUCAUAUUGUCCUAUACUAUUAUAUAAAAUUAUGAUUCCAUCACCAUUUGUAAUUCAUGUAAUAUUCAAGUGACCAUUGGCCCGAAAAGUUAAAUUAACCCAUGUCUUUAAUUUCUUACCAUUUUAAGAGGACUUUUUACCUCCUUAUUUAAGUAGUACUGUUUGUACAUGGAAUCCCUCACCUUUCACCUCUUUUUCUUCCCUAUCACUUAGUAUUCUUAACUAAAUUGAUCAAGUGUUUUGACAUCAGUUAAAACUAGGAUCACUGCAAACAGGACAUGGGGUAGAAUAUAUGAGAUUUACUUCCCUCAGAAAUAUUCCUAAAGAGAAUAAGGACAGGUAUUCUCUGAUUGGGUCUGACCUAUGAAAUAAUUGAAUAUAGUUCUUGAAUUUAAAAGGGGAAAAAUCCUAUUUCUGACCUCCAUUUAAGACCUUCAGACUCCUUGGAGGCUCUGCAUCAGCUUCUCUUUACACACUCUAAUUUGCAACAAUACCUUGAUUAAAGUUUUCCCAAAUGUCUUCUCUUCACCCCACAGUAUGACUACCAAGUAAACCAUCAUGGAUUACAUUCCAGUUUAUUGUUUUACAAUCUUCAUUUAGCUAUAGGAUUUCUUCAGUUGGGAUACGUUUGUGUCAGCCAGUUUAGUUUCAGAAAAAGACAUUUUCUGAUCUUUCACCAAAAUGGUGGGUCUGAAUAAUUUGGAGGCUAAAGUUCAUGAAUUCACAAAACUGAACAUUUGUGAACAGAAAACUCUUCCCAUUUAAGAUUGACUGUAGCAUUGCACUAAAUUGUUUGUAUGUGAACUUUUUCUUCAUUGUACCUGAAAGCUUAAAUAACUGUUCUCAUUUUAGCAGUUCCUUACGUGAAACAUUUAUACUGGCUUUUCAGUUUGUGAACUUGUACUUUGUAGUAUCAUGUACUUAGUUACAUAAUAGUGCUCUCUUUCUUCUAGAUGAAUCUUUUUUUUAAAAUGUUUUAUAUUGGAGGAUAUAAAGUCACUUCUUUUAAUAUUAAUAUUCUGUUUUACACCUGAUAACUG